Small nucleolar RNA from Prunus persica (peach), 86 nucleotides. It matches the Rfam family "Small nucleolar RNA R44/J54/Z268 family". Rfam says of the family: R44, J54 and Z268 are members of the C/D class of snoRNA which contain the C (UGAUGA) and D (CUGA) box motifs. Most of the members of the box C/D family function in directing site-specific 2'-O-methylation of substrate RNAs. NCBI's taxonomy places the organism in Eukaryota, Viridiplantae, Streptophyta, Magnoliopsida, Rosales, Rosaceae. The record is from Rfam.
AUUGCAAGUGACGAUAAAACAGACAGGGACAUCUGCACUCUUCGGAGGGUGAUGACUUAGUCUAAUGGGAAUCUCUCUGAUGCAUU